GCCCUGAUAGUAUAAAUAUUACCCUGGUCUUGUAAACCAGAAAUGAGGAACUUAUCCUCUCAGGGCA
This 67-nucleotide transfer RNA is filed under the name Otomys irroratus (Vlei rat). RNAcentral's name for it is "tRNA-Thr". The record is from RNAcentral. Lineage: Eukaryota; Metazoa; Chordata; Mammalia; Rodentia; Muridae.